UGGCGAACGGGUGAGUAACACGUGGGUGAUCUGCCCUGCACUUCGGGAUAAGCCUGGGAAACUGGGUCUAAUACCGGAUAGGGCCAUGCUUUAGUGUGUGUGGUGGAAAGUUUUUCGGUGCAAGAUGAGCCCGCGGCCUAUCAGCUUGUUGGUGGGGUAAUGGCCUACCAAGGCGAUGACGGGUAGCCGGCCUGAGAGGGUGUACGGCCACAUUGGGACUGAGACACGGCCCAG
RNAcentral lists this ribosomal RNA (234 nucleotides) under uncultured Actinomycetales bacterium. Its description in RNAcentral is "partial 16S ribosomal RNA". It matches the Rfam family "Bacterial small subunit ribosomal RNA", at positions 96 to 334 of the family's 1533-position model. The record is from RNAcentral. Lineage: Bacteria; Bacillati; Actinomycetota; Actinomycetes; Actinomycetales.